This 447-nucleotide ribosomal RNA is filed under the name uncultured bacterium. Its description in RNAcentral is "bacterial SSU rRNA". It matches the Rfam family "Bacterial small subunit ribosomal RNA", at positions 30 to 465 of the family's 1533-position model. The record is from RNAcentral.
AGUGAACGCUGGCGGCAGGCCUAACACAUGCAAGUCGAGCGGCAGCGCGUCCGACCACCCUCGGGUGGUCGGAUGGCGGCGAGCGGCGGACGGGUGAGGAAUGCAUCGGAAUCUGCCUCGUUGUGGGGGAUAACGUAGGGAAACUUACGCUAAUACCGCAUACGACCUACGGGUGAAAGUGGGGGACCUUCGGGCCUCACGCGAUGAGAUGAGCCGAUGCCGGAUUAGCUAGUUGGCGGGGUAAAGGCCCACCAAGGCGACGAUCCGUAGCUGGUCUGAGAGGAUGAUCAGCCACACUGGAACUGAGACACGGUCCAGACUCCUACGGGAGGCAGCAGUGGGGAAUAUUGGACAAUGGGGGCAACCCUGAUCCAGCCAUGCCGCGUGUGUGAAGAAGGCCUGGUUGUAAGUACACUUUGUUGGGUAGGAACGGACCGGUAACGUACC